This 103-nucleotide signal recognition particle RNA is filed under the name Halothermothrix orenii H 168. It matches the Rfam family "Bacterial small signal recognition particle RNA". From Rfam's summary of the family: The signal recognition particle (SRP) is a universally conserved ribonucleoprotein involved in the co-translational targeting of proteins to membranes. Lineage: Bacteria; Bacillati; Bacillota; Clostridia; Halanaerobiales; Halothermotrichaceae. The record is from RNAcentral.
CGAUUGGGUCUUACGCAAUGGAGCUUUACGAACCCCGUCAGGUCCGGGAGGAAGCAGCGGUAAGUAAAUGCCUCCAUGUGCCGUAAGGGUGCCUGGUCCGAGC